RNAcentral lists this ribosomal RNA (459 nucleotides) under Streptococcus sp. oral taxon 074. RNAcentral's name for it is "bacterial SSU rRNA". It matches the Rfam family "Bacterial small subunit ribosomal RNA", at positions 28 to 471 of the family's 1533-position model. Lineage: Bacteria; Bacillati; Bacillota; Bacilli; Lactobacillales; Streptococcaceae. The record is from RNAcentral.
GAUGAACGCUGGCGGCGUGCCUAAUACAUGCAAGUAGAACGCUGAAGCUUGGUGCUUGCACCGAGCGGAUGAGUUGCGAACGGGUGAGUAACGCGUAGGUAACCUGCCUGGUAGCGGGGGAUAACUAUUGGAAACGAUAGCUAAUACCGCAUGACAACAGUUAUUGCAUGAUAACUGUUUAAAAGGGGCAAUUGCUCCACUACCAGAUGGACCUGCGUUGUAUUAGCUAGUUGGUGAGGUAACGGCUCACCAAGGCGACGAUACAUAGCCGACCUGAGAGGGUGAUCGGCCACACUGGGACUGAGACACGGCCCAGACUCCUACGGGAGGCAGCAGUAGGGAAUCUUCGGCAAUGGACGGAAGUCUGACCGAGCAACGCCGCGUGAGUGAAGAAGGUUUUCGGAUCGUAAAGCUCUGUCGUAAGAGAAGAACGAGUGUGAGAGUGGAAAGUUCACACUG